RNAcentral lists this long non-coding RNA (1084 nucleotides) under Triticum aestivum (bread wheat). RNAcentral's name for it is "long non-coding RNA (TAES_LNC017425)". The record is from RNAcentral. Lineage: Eukaryota; Viridiplantae; Streptophyta; Magnoliopsida; Poales; Poaceae.
ACAACUGAAUAUGCAAACCACACAUAACUGAAGCUCGCACCCACUAACUAGCAAGCAAAACAGAAUUCUCAGUUACAUCCAACAUCGCUACGUGGAGAACAUCACAGAGGCUUUUCUUGCGAUAACUGUUUCUGCGCGACUUCCUCUCCUGCUUCUUCAUGUCCUGCACCGUUGGUGUCUCUUCGCUAUAUGAUCAACAAAAGUGACUGGGGUUCAGACACUAUGAAUCUGAGGCCAGUUUAAUGCACCGGUUUUCAGUUUCCCAUGCUUCCCAGUCCUUUCGCAGCCUCCUUCCGUAGCAGAGAUGAGCCUCGGUGCAGGAGCCUAGAGAAAUAAAACAGAGGAAUGAUCAUGAAUAAUCAUAGUCAACCAACAAUAAUAUUAACUGCACAAACAUAAAUGAGAAUGGACCAUUUGUUUUAAGAUCAGCUUAAAUGGCCUGAGCACGUCGAACGGGCCAAUUUAAACUUUAUUUCAGUUGCCAAUGCAGAUAGGAUGUAUCGGCAUUACAGUACCCAUCAAUGAAUAAUUUGGCACGACUAGUUUUCCAUUACACCACCAUGUAUGCUGACAGCGUCAGCACACAGCUAAAGGAAGGUCAAUAUAACUUAACAUGUUGAACUCAAGAAGGCUAGGACACUGGGCGCUGACAAGUGGAAGAUUUCCUUUGGUUUCCUUUGACAUGUCAAAUCAGUAUCAGAGCACGCAAAUGGUUGACCAGAAGAAGAAAAUAAUUUGGAAGGCAACCACAUGAAAGCACAACACCUAUGGCAGACCGUGUGUUUGUUCAGCAUAUGCAUAAUCACCACAGCAAGCAAAACUGGAAACUAACCAAAAGAAUAUGCAACCCUCCAUCACCAGAGAGCACCACCUUCCAUCAAAUUUGCAUCGGUCAUCAGCGUAGGCUGCAAUUACGCAUGCACAUAGAUUCUCCAGAUCAUAUACGUCAUGGCACUUAUGCAGUGUCUUGGCAAGGAAAGAAACAUAAACCCAGUACAAAUUUCCAUCACAGUUUCACCUUCGACAGUUAAAUUACAAAGGUGUAAAGCUAAGGCUGAAUCAUAAAGACUAUGGGAACACUAUU